ACGAACGCUGGCGGCGUGCCUAAUACAUGCAAGUCGAACGGUCUUUCUAUGGAAGCUUGCUUCCAACUGAAAAGAUAGUGGCGAACGGGUGAGUAACACGUGGGUAACCUGCCCAUAAGAGGGGGAUAACAUCCGGAAACGGGUGCUAAUACCGCAUAGUUUUCUUGAUCGCAUGAUCGGGAAGGAAAGACGGCCUUUGUGCUGUCGCUUAUGGAUGGACCCGCGGCGUAUUAGUUAGUUGGUGAGGUAACGGCUCACCAAGACGAUGAUACGUAGCCGACCUGAGAGGGUGAUCGGCCACAUUGGGACUGAGACACGGCCCAAACUCCUACGGGAGGCAGCAGUAGGGAAUCUUCCGCAAUGGACGAAAGUCUGACGGAGCAACGCCGCGUGAGUGAAGAAGGUUUUCGGAAUCGUAAAAACUCUGUUGUCAGAGAAGAACAAGCUGGAGAGUAACUGCUCCAGCCUUGACGGUAUCUGACCAGAAAGCCACGGCUAACUACGUGCCAGCAGCAGC
Molecule: ribosomal RNA, 517 nt
Filed under: uncultured bacterium
Lineage: Bacteria
Description: bacterial SSU rRNA
Rfam family: Bacterial small subunit ribosomal RNA
Source: RNAcentral